UACGUAGGGUGCAAGCGUUGUCCGGAAUUACUGGGCGUAAAGAGCUCGUAGGUGGUUUGUCGCGUUGUUCGUGAAAACUCACAGCUUAACUGUGGGCGUGCGGGCGAUACGGGCAGACUGGAGUACUGCAGGGGAGACUGGAAUUCCUGGUGUAGCGGUGGAAUGCGCAGAUAUCAGGAGGAACACCGGUAGCGAAGGCGGGUCUCUGGGCAGUAACUGACGCUGAGGAGCGAAAGCGUGGGGAGCGAACAGG
RNAcentral lists this ribosomal RNA (253 nucleotides) under uncultured bacterium. RNAcentral describes it as "partial 16S ribosomal RNA". It matches the Rfam family "Bacterial small subunit ribosomal RNA", at positions 524 to 776 of the family's 1533-position model. The record is from RNAcentral.